RNAcentral lists this ribosomal RNA (393 nucleotides) under Oncaea parabathyalis. RNAcentral's name for it is "partial 12S ribosomal RNA". Lineage: Eukaryota; Metazoa; Arthropoda; Copepoda; Poecilostomatoida; Oncaeidae. The record is from RNAcentral.
UGAUUAUAUUUUUAAUUUUAUAAAAAAUUUUUUAGUAAUAGUUUGGUCCUAUAAAUUAAAUUUCUAAAAAUUUUUAACUUAUAUAAUAAAAUUAAUUUUCAAAAAAAGACUAGAAUCUUUUUAUGAUAUUAAUAUUUAAGUAGUUUUAAAAACUUAAAAUAAAUGGCAGUAAAAUAUCCAAAUUAAGGAAUUUUGAAAAAUAAUUGAUAAUCCUCAAUUUUAUUUACUUUAAAAAAUUUUUUGUGUGGUUGUUUAAAAAUAUUUUUUAAAAUAAAUUUUAAUUCAGAUUUUACAUUGUAUUUUAAAGGAAUUUUCUAAAUGUAUUUUUAUUUAAUAAAUUAAUUUAAAAAAUAUAAUACUUAAUAGUAAUAAAUAAUUAUAUAAAAAUGUUUU